Molecule: long non-coding RNA, 748 nt
Organism: Rosa chinensis
Lineage: Eukaryota; Viridiplantae; Streptophyta; Magnoliopsida; Rosales; Rosaceae
Exons: 2
Source: RefSeq, a predicted model, not a curated record
UUUCUCCAGAAGCUGCGGCUUUUUUCGUCAAAAAGCUGAAGCUGCCUCACCCCGGCUUUUAGAAGCCAGAAGCCGCGCACUACUCUAGCGAUGGUUUAAUGAAUUUUUUGAAAUACUAUUGGGUACCCUCAUGAACUUCAAGGAAUUACAGACCAACCUCUUCUCUCUCUCUCUCUCUCUCUCUCUCAGUGCUCUUAGGACGAGUUAGGACGAGAUCGUGCAUUCAUCGGCGCCUCCACCUUCUCUCUCUCUCUCUCAGUGCUCUUAGGACGAGAUCGUGCAUUUAUCGGCGCCUCCACCUUUGCUCUCCCUGGUGGACACCUCGAGUUUGCAGUAGAAGUUAGCUGUUUCUGGCCAAGUAGAAGUUAAGAUGCUUGGAGGAAGGAGCUAAGAUGUUCAUGCAAAAACCAAUCAAACAGUCAGACAUUAAGCAAUUGAGAUGUCAUCUAUGAAACUGCAGAAGCUGAACACACAUACUUUGUUCUGGAGGAGAAAUGGAGAGAAGCUAAAGAAAUCACAUGCCUUUUUUUUUUUACCUUCAGAACUUGCUAUCUUCAUAUCUUGAUGAGUUCUUUUAAAUGCAUUUCCAUCUCACUGUUGUCCUUAGUCUGACUGAAAUCAUUUGCUACUGUGGGGAUAAUUGGAUGGAGCAAAACUGUAAAUAUAUAUUCAUUGAAAAUAAAUCUGUACCAAGUAAAGAAAUCAUAUCAUAUAUAGUACAUAGAAAUCACCUGCUAAUUUUUGUUUU